AUACGUAGGUGACAAGCGUUAUCCGGAUUUACUGGGCGUAAAGGGCGUGUAGGCGGCCCGGUAAGUCUGGAGUGAAAGUCCUGUUUUUAAGAUGGGAAUUGCUUUGGAUACUGUCGGGCUUGAGUGCAGGAGAGGUAAGUGGAAUUCCCAGUGUAGCGGUGAAAUGCGUAGAGAUUGGGAGGAACACCAGUGGCGAAGGCGACUUACUGGACUGUAACUGACACUGGGGCGCGAAAGUGUGGGGAGCAAACAGGAUUAGAUACCCUGGUAGUCCACACUGUAAACGAUGAAUGCUAGGUGUAGGGGGUAUCGACCCCUUCUGUGCCGCAGUCAACACAAUAAGCAUUCCGCCUGGGGAGUACGGCCGCAAGGUUGAAACUCAAAGGAAUUGACGGGG
RNAcentral lists this ribosomal RNA (397 nucleotides) under uncultured bacterium. RNAcentral describes it as "partial 16S ribosomal RNA". It matches the Rfam family "Bacterial small subunit ribosomal RNA", at positions 523 to 918 of the family's 1533-position model. The record is from RNAcentral.